Molecule: non-coding RNA, 107 nt
Organism: Capsicum annuum
Lineage: Eukaryota; Viridiplantae; Streptophyta; Magnoliopsida; Solanales; Solanaceae
Source: Rfam
ACUUCAUGAUUUUGGCAUUGAAUAAGAUUACCAUUAAACCCCUCCCAAGCAUCAAACAAUGGUUCUCCGUUCAUUUGCCAAAAAAUUUAAAAUUUCAUCCCGAUUUU